Molecule: long non-coding RNA, 633 nt
Organism: Neofelis nebulosa (Clouded leopard)
Lineage: Eukaryota; Metazoa; Chordata; Mammalia; Carnivora; Felidae
Exons: 2
Source: RefSeq, a predicted model, not a curated record
UAGUACCACUUCUACAAGCCCCUUCCAGAGAGAAGGUCUGGGUCUCAGUAGGAGAUUUUACAAAGAUUUUAGGGGCACCUGGAUGGCUCAGGCAGUAGAGCAUGCUCCUUUUGAUCUCAGGGUCCUGAGUUUAAGGCCCAUGUGAGUCACAGAGCCUACCUGGUUAAAAAAAAAAUUUUUUUUUAAUUGGGGAAUUUUUUGUUAUCUACAGGGGCGACAAAAACCAAUUUUGUCGUAGCAGAAAGAGAACAACAACCCUGGAACCAUAGGAGGGAAUACCUGUGUCCCAGGGAGGUAAUCAAGGGAGAAGAGAGAAGUUACCAUGUUAUUAGACAAACUUCACAGUCUGUCACUGUCACCUUAUAUAUGAAAGGAUAUUGUAAUGAGACAUAUUGAGUAUUCCUAGGAAACUACUGGAAUGAUAAUCUCUCUCUCCUAAAGGACCCCCAUGCUUUUUUUUUCCAAGUAAAAAAACAAAUAGUAUUUGGAUAUUGGCAUCUUUAUUCCCAUUUUACCAGAAAUUGUUCAAAGAACAUGAACGAUUUAUCUACCGAUCAGAAAAAAAAGUUUUAUAACCUUAAAACAUGUUUACUCACUAUGAGCUGUAAAUUGAUUAAAUCGGAGAUUUUGGUG